GAUGAACGCUAGCUACAGGCUUAACACAUGCAAGUCGAGGGGCAGCAUCAUCAAAGCUUGCUUUGAUGGAUGGCGACCGGCGCACGGGUGAGUAACACGUAUCCAACCUGCCGACAACACUGGGAUAGCCCUUUCGAAAGAAAGAUUAAUACCGGAUGGCAUAGUUUUCCCGCAUGGGGAUAAUUAUUAAAGAAUUUCGGUUGUCGAUGGGGAUGCGUUCCAUUAGGCAGUUGGCGGGGUAACGGCCCACAAACCAACGAUGGAUAGGGGUUCUGAGAGGAAGGUCCCCCACAUUGGAACUGAGACAC
Molecule: ribosomal RNA, 308 nt
Filed under: uncultured bacterium
Lineage: Bacteria
Description: bacterial SSU rRNA
Rfam family: Bacterial small subunit ribosomal RNA
Source: RNAcentral